This 226-nucleotide ribosomal RNA is filed under the name uncultured bacterium. RNAcentral describes it as "partial 16S ribosomal RNA". It matches the Rfam family "Bacterial small subunit ribosomal RNA", at positions 585 to 810 of the family's 1533-position model. The record is from RNAcentral.
AAGUCAGGGGUGAAAGCCCCCGGCCCAACCGGGGAACGGCCUUUGAAACUGCGGACCUUGAGUGGAGCAGAGGGGAGUGGAACUCUCGGUGGAGCGGUGAAAUGCGUUGAUAUCGAGGGGAACACCAGCGGCGAAGGCGACUCCCCAUGCUUCUACUGACGCUGAGGUGCGAAAGCCAGGGGAGCGAACGGGAUUAGAUACCCCGGUAGUCCUGGCCCUAAACGGU